RNAcentral lists this ribosomal RNA (968 nucleotides) under Bacillus velezensis. RNAcentral describes it as "bacterial SSU rRNA". It matches the Rfam family "Bacterial small subunit ribosomal RNA", at positions 48 to 999 of the family's 1533-position model. The record is from RNAcentral. Lineage: Bacteria; Bacillati; Bacillota; Bacilli; Caryophanales; Bacillaceae.
CCUAUACAUGCAAGUCGAGCGGACAGAUGGGAGCUUGCUCCCUGAUGUUAGCGGCGGACGGGUGAGUAACACGUGGGUAACCUGCCUGUAAGACUGGGAUAACUCCGGGAAACCGGGGCUAAUACCGGAUGGUUGUUUGAACCGCAUGGUUCAGACAUAAAAGGUGGCUUCGGCUACCACUUACAGAUGGACCCGCGGCGCAUUAGCUAGUUGGUGAGGUAACGGCUCACCAAGGCGACGAUGCGUAGCCGACCUGAGAGGGUGAUCGGCCACACUGGGACUGAGACACGGCCCAGACUCCUACGGGAGGCAGCAGUAGGGAAUCUUCCGCAAUGGACGAAAGUCUGACGGAGCAACGCCGCGUGAGUGAUGAAGGUUUUCGGAUCGUAAAGCUCUGUUGUUAGGGAAGAACAAGUGCCGUUCAAAUAGGGCGGCACCUUGACGGUACCUAACCAGAAAGCCACGGCUAACUACGUGCCAGCAGCCGCGGUAAUACGUAGGUGGCAAGCGUUGUCCGGAAUUAUUGGGCGUAAAGGGCUCGCAGGCGGUUUCUUAAGUCUGAUGUGAAAGCCCCCGGCUCAACCGGGGAGGGUCAUUGGAAACUGGGGAACUUGAGUGCAGAAGAGGAGAGUGGAAUUCCACGUGUAGCGGUGAAAUGCGUAGAGAUGUGGAGGAACACCAGUGGCGAAGGCGACUCUCUGGUCUGUAACUGACGCUGAGGAGCGAAAGCGUGGGGAGCGAACAGGAUUAGAUACGCUGGUAGUCCACGCCGUAAACGAUGAGUGCUAACUGUUAGGGGGUUUCCGCCCCUUAGUGCUGCAGCUAACGCAUUAAUCACUCCGCCUGCGGAGUACGGUCGCAGGACUGAAACUCAAAGAAUUGAAAGCGGCCCGCACAACCGUUGGAGCAAGUGGUUUAUUCAAAGCCACGCCAAAGAACUUAACAGGGCUUGGCAUCCACUGACAUCC